Long non-coding RNA from Triticum dicoccoides, 1254 nucleotides. RefSeq lists it as uncharacterized. The transcript has 5 exons. Lineage: Eukaryota; Viridiplantae; Streptophyta; Magnoliopsida; Poales; Poaceae. The record is from RefSeq and is a predicted model, not a curated record.
UCCUGCAGAGGAGCACUGCCCUAUACUGGAAGACCAUGCUGUGUCCGUGGCGAAGCACUUCCUCAAGGUGCUUCUGCUCGUGGUGUCCAAUCCCGUGUAUGUUUCUAGCUACAACUCCUAGAAGCUGUCAGGGUUGGGUUCCCGGCGUGCGGCGUCAUCAGCUCAAGCACCAACCAGUUUGUAAUCCACAUGCAGCUUCUAGGUUCUGGCUUUGGGAUGGAGGAACAUAGCACAUCGUUGCUGAAUUUGGAGUUAUACGCAUCAACAAAGGAAGGGGAAGCAUAGCACUAAGGAAGUCCAAAUUGCAAAACAGUUAUGUUCGUGUAGAUCAUCCAAGCUCUACAUACUCAUGAGGUGCUCUCUGGCUAGUUAAGAUAAGGACCAUAAUUUCACCUGGUAGAAAAAAUAUGUGGACCAUCGAUUUCUGUUCGGUGGCCAGCAAACUAUUACUCCAUCCAUCCCAUAAUAUAAGUGUUUUUGACACUGUGUAGUGGCAAAAACGCUCUUAUAUCAUGGGACGGAGGGACUAGUUGGUAGACAUACCUGCUCAUUUUUUGCUGUAACUACUUUGAACAAGUGCCUUCACAAUGACUGAAUUAAAGGUUGCCUUAGACGUCUCUUAACCUGCCUAGGUCACAUCUUUGAGAUGAAAGAUUAUGAUUCUCAAGCUAAAAAAAUAGAUCAUUUGUUGAGUUUUUUUGUGGCAAACAUUUACUAGAACUCGAGAUCCUUUGGCAAUGUUGUAACUUCGAAGAAUGUAAUUUGACUUUCAAGAAGAUUUGUGUUAAGUUUUUUAAUUAUUGGUAAUUACAGGGAGGCAUCGUGGCUUGAUUAUCUCACUCUUCUCCUGAGACAAUUGACUAGCCCACCGAAGACAAUGUCCAAGGGCAUUUGUGCACAAGGAUUCCUGCUUCCUGCUACUCACGAGCACCCGGCGGGAUUACCGGUGCAUUAUGCAAACAUCAGAUGAUCUACUGCUCCUAUCGAUGAGUAAGGAAUGACAUACAAGAGGACCAUGAUGGAACCAUGAAGAUGGCGGUAUGCGUUAGCUAGACAUUUUGUGUAAUGGAGCAAAACAAUGUGCAUUUUAGUUAUCAUUUUGUAAUCCUAUAUGGUGUCUUGUCAACUGGGCAUUUUGUGUAAUGGAGCAAACAAUGAAUAGUCGGACAUGCAUCUAUCAUUUUGUAAACCAAUCAGGUGUCUCCAUGGUCGAAACAUAAACGUUUCCUCCUUUCAGUUAGUUACUUUUACCUA